This is a non-coding RNA of Myotis brandtii (Brandt's bat), 73 nucleotides long. NCBI's taxonomy places the organism in Eukaryota, Metazoa, Chordata, Mammalia, Chiroptera, Vespertilionidae. The record is from Rfam.
CUCGGGGAGAGGGGUCCCUCAGCCUGGAUUGCAAGAGGGUGCAGGCCAGGCUGAGGGACCUCACUAGUGCACA